RNAcentral lists this ribosomal RNA (253 nucleotides) under uncultured bacterium. RNAcentral's name for it is "partial 16S ribosomal RNA". It matches the Rfam family "Bacterial small subunit ribosomal RNA", at positions 524 to 776 of the family's 1533-position model. The record is from RNAcentral.
UACGUAGGGGGCGAGCGUUGUCCGGAAUGACUGGGCGUAAAGCGUGCGUAGGCGGUCCGGCCAGUCCGGGGUGAAAGUCCGGGGCUCAACCCUGGGAAUGCCUUGGAAACUGUCGGACUUGAGUGCUGGAGAGGCAAGGGGAAUUCCACGUGUAGCGGUGAAAUGCGUAGAGAUGUGGAGGAAUACCAGUGGCGAAGGCGCCUUGCUGGACAGUGACUGACGCUGAGGCACGAAAGCGUGGGGAGCAAACAGG